Molecule: long non-coding RNA, 2208 nt
Organism: Strongylocentrotus purpuratus (purple sea urchin)
Lineage: Eukaryota; Metazoa; Echinodermata; Echinoidea; Camarodonta; Strongylocentrotidae
Exons: 2
Source: RefSeq, a predicted model, not a curated record
UUUUUAUAACACUACAGUCUAUUGGGGAAAAUGAGUAUGUUAAAACCGGUCACUCAGAGAUUUAUAGUUUUUUGAGGCACUUCAUGAUCAUUUUGAAGCCCCAAUUUGUGUAGGGCUUCAAAUUAACACCACAGACACUGAUAACAGGUGCUGCCAUGCAUCUCAGAUUUAACAUUGUUAAACGAUUGCCUUUAAAAAAGAAAGGAAACCAUUAUUCCUUUUCAACUUCCUCUGCCUGCAUCAAGAACCAACACUAGCCUCUGAAGAUCGAGUGGCCUAAAUAUUCAAGCAGAGAUUAACAAACCCAAAUGACAACAACAAUUACCAAUGGCAGGUGUUAGCUCCUUUCAAUUUCAAUUUGUUUUGACAGUUAUUAUCAUUUUCCCAAACAUUAAAUAUAACACCGCUUUUUAAGAAUAUGGCCAGUAUAUGUGUACGUGCUAUUUGAAUCUGUGACUCCAAACCAAAGUAUUUAUUAGAUACGUGUAUUAUGUCAUUCAACUGAAUAAAGUGUCAUUGAAAGAGUACUAACAUAUUGAAUUAUAUAUAGCAUGCAUUUUGAAUAAUACAAUGUGUAUAACUCAUCCCUACAUAUGUAUAUAUAGUAUCUUGAUAUAAUGUAGCUAAACCUUUGCUAUGAAUGUACAUGUAAUCAGCGCUUUGCAGUUUGGAUCUUGGGCGCCUCAUGUAUGUUAAUCUAACAAUAAAACUGUUAAGUAAUAGAUGUAUUUCUGUGUCCAAUUCGAUGUAUACAAUAAUACAAGUCUCUCACAAAAGGAAAACAUGUUUAAGAGAAAGUUGAGUUCUGGGAAGAGGUGAAAAAUAAUUUGUGAGCGUUAUCAUUCUUAUUAUGCAAGUGUGGAAGAACAUCAGAUAAGACACGUUCCCUGAAAAGCAUGGCUCUUCAAAUGCCUUCAUAUUCUAAAUAUCUCAUGUAACAUCGUAACAAUCCGGGUAGGAUUUUUACGCCACGUGUUUGUGUAGUCCCAUAUACAUCUUUCUGUGUACAGUGUUUGUAACUCUACCAAGACUGGGCCAAAUUUCUUAUCAUUUGAUGAUUCCAGAACCUUGCAAUACACACAAAUUCUUAUAUGCUAGAUGAUCAACCUUUUCUGGUCGAUUCCACAACGUUUCUUUCGCAAUGCAAUCGCAUGACCAGAACUCAACUUCAUUUUAAUAUCUGUUUAAAAUGUGACUGGUAACCCCAAAUCAUGUCUGAAAUAUUUGAAAUAUAUCAUGUCUUACAUGUAAAUAUUUAAAUGAUGAGAAGUAUAUAUUCCUAAUGCUUACAACUAGCCACUACUCCAGUCCUUGCAAGAUGUACCAUGGACGGCAUAUUCAGUAUUUAUCAGUCUCAUCAGCAGCGCUUUUGUCUUUGAUUAGGCAAAUAGAUAUUGGUGCUCUACUAAUUGAAUCCUGGAUUGGAUCAGAAAGAGAGUUUCCCCCCUUUUUAAUCUCUACAUAUGUAUGUUUUGCUGACCAUUUCUGAUGGCAUGGAAACUAUAAAUUUAGAAUAGUAACCGCGAGUCAUUUUUCCAAAAGUUUUUACUGUAACUAUGACUACCGGUAUAACAAUAUGGAGUAGCCCCGCCCAGUUGUGUUAAUAUUAAGUCGGUGCUUUCCAUGUUCUUUAUUUUUGAUAGCUCAAAAAAAUGUGUCUUUCAAACUUGUUAUACAGUUUUUCUGUUAUUGUUAUGCUUGUCAAUGUUAAAUUAAUAUACAGUGGAACCUUGUUAUAAAGAACAUUGAUGUACAUGUAUUUGUAAAAAGGUAUUGUUAUAGCUAUUUCAUAUAAACUAUGCCGUUGUUUUGGUUUUCUUUUUUGUUGGUUUGUUUAAUAACAAGGUAAUUAAUUUCCUUGGUUCCAAACUAAUUCAGUCAAACUUGAUGCAAGGACUAAAGUCAUGUUAUAAACCCUAGUUUGACCUCAGUGUCAGUUUUAUUAUUCUGUAUUACAAUGCAGAUCAAGGCUUUUAAGGUUCAGCUUCAUGAUGAUGCUGCAAGUCGGUGCAAAUAUUAACAAUGGACAUUCAUUUUGUAAAUGUAUUAUUUUUUUUUGGUGUAUAUAUGUAAACAGUGAAUAUCAGUUAUUGUACAUGUACCGGCAUGUGUAUUUAGUAAUAUGUAUAUUUUCUUAUAUGAUCAUUUAUGUUAAUAUAUAUCUGUACCUUGUAUACAAAUAUUAAUAUACUGUACAUGGAAACAUUA